GAAGCAAAGUUGGAAGCAUUAUCAGAAGUUCUUAAAGAUGUAAUUAUAACUUAAAAGAAUUGUUGUAAUAGGUAUUUGCAGAGAAAAACUCUAUAUUUUAGUGUGAAUAUAGUUUAUACAAUCUUCCUAUUUGUAUACAAGAAUAUAGAUACAGCAGGAAUUCUAGAAUAACUAGGAAUAGAGUUAAGUAUUCGGUUUAAACCUAAUCGAACCGAACCAAACUGAAUCAUCAAAACUGAAUUAAUCG
RNAcentral lists this unclassified non-coding RNA (247 nucleotides) under Hevea brasiliensis (rubber tree). Lineage: Eukaryota; Viridiplantae; Streptophyta; Magnoliopsida; Malpighiales; Euphorbiaceae. The record is from RNAcentral.